This 384-nucleotide unclassified non-coding RNA is filed under the name Hevea brasiliensis (rubber tree). Lineage: Eukaryota; Viridiplantae; Streptophyta; Magnoliopsida; Malpighiales; Euphorbiaceae. The record is from RNAcentral.
GGUUUUAAAUUUUUUUUUUUUUUAGUAAGACUAGUUCAAUAAACAGAAAUUGAAAGGUUACAAGCUAAACUCAGUGACUAUACGUUAUUUAUAUAGGCUGAAAUUGAAAGAUUGCAAGCUGAGAUUUAUGACUUCAAGCUUCAACUAGAUGAAAUAUGUUAUUUGAGGGAUUCAUAUGAUGAUGUUGUCUAUUGUCCACCUGACUUAUUUUUUGCACAUCAAACCAUCAAGCAACUUUUACAAGUUAAGGAGAAAGCACUUGAACCAUGAAAGAAUGAGUAUAUAUUUCAACUAUGAGUUAGGAAGAGAGAACUUGAAGAAUGGAAGGAGUACGAAUUACUAAAACAAGAGUUGGACAUGAUAUCAAGAGCUCUUGACAAUAUA